This 763-nucleotide ribosomal RNA is filed under the name uncultured bacterium. RNAcentral describes it as "bacterial SSU rRNA". It matches the Rfam family "Bacterial small subunit ribosomal RNA", at positions 8 to 796 of the family's 1533-position model. The record is from RNAcentral.
AGAGUUUGAUCCUGGCUCAGGACGAACGCUGGCGGCGUGCCUAAAACAUGCAAGUCGAACGGUGGUAGCAAUACCACAGUGGCGAACGGCGGAGUAAUACGUGAACAACGUGCCCUAAAGACUGGGAUAGUCACUGGAAACGGUGGGUAAUACCGGAUGUGGCAGGAUCAGCACAUGCUGGAUCUGUUAAAUGGUUUUUCGCUUUAGGAGCGGUUCACGGCCUAUCAGGUAGUUGGUGGGGUAAUGGCCUACCAAGCCGACGACGGGUAGCGGGUCUGAGAGGAUGGUCCGCUCGAGUGGGACUGAGACACGGCCCACACACCUACGGGUGGCAGCAGUUGGGAAUCUUGCACAAUGGGGGAAACCCUGAUGCAGCGACGCCGCGUGGAGGAUGAAGGGUCUAGGCUCGUAAACUCCUUUUACCAGGAAAGACUUAGGACGGUACCUGGUGAAUAAGCCCCGGCUAACUACGUGCCAGCAGCCGCGGUAAGACGUAGGGGGCAAGCGUUGUCCGGAUUUACUGGGCGUAAAGAGCGCGUAGGCGGUCUGUUAAGUGUAGAGUGAAAGCUCCGGGCUCAACCCGGAAACCGCUCUGCAUACUGGCAGACUUGAGGGACGCAGAGGUCUGUGGAAUUCCUGGUGUAACGGUGAAAUGUGUUGAUAUCAGGAGGAACACCCAUGGCGAAGGCAGCAGACUGGGCGUUUCCUGACGCUGAGGCGCGAAAGCGUGGGUAGCAAACAGGAUUAGAUACCCUAGUAGUCC